Molecule: non-coding RNA, 3045 nt
Organism: Coffea arabica (coffee)
Lineage: Eukaryota; Viridiplantae; Streptophyta; Magnoliopsida; Gentianales; Rubiaceae
Source: RefSeq, a predicted model, not a curated record
CCAGUAGAUAAAGACGACUUGCCCAAAGCUCAGGAAACCAGGCAACAAUGACUAGGUCAACCCAAAUCCGACGAGUAAAUUGGGAAAGUAUUAAACGUAUUUCCAGAGCACAUUAACAUCAUUGUCACCCAUACAAAUAUUACGCAGGAAUGACUGGAAAAAGUGAAAACUGGGAGCUCCGAGACUGGAAUGAGGCGAGCAGGGAGACGGGAUUUCUUCAAGGGUGGUUGCCCCUCUCUGCUUCUUAGCCUGUGAUUUCUUUCUCUAUCACGUUACAGCAAAACCAGCAUCCCUUCAUCGUUUGAGAGAAGGGUUAAUUACACUGAGCGCCUCCUUUUUUUUCGACUGAGUCGAACCAAACGGGCCCUUGUAUUCAUAUUCCCUGGAAAACUUCCCAGGAGCUUUAGUUUGCGAGUUUAGGAAAGAAAAGAAAAGAAAGCAUCAAAAAGGCUGUGAUGAUUACUUUUCAUUCUCAGAAUCGGAGCAAGUUUUUCUUUUGCAGGGUAAUUUGAGGUGAACCGACCCGUAUCUUGGCAGGGCAACCCUGAUGGCCUGAAAAUGGGGGAUUCUUUCCCGUCUCCCUUUUGCAUGCAACUGGGUUUUUGCAGCCAUGGCGGUGUUUCUCUCCCUCUUUUGCUCUGAUGAAAGAUCUGAGCCAUUUUCUUUGAGGCGAAAUGAGGUAAUCAGAGAGAUUGGGAUUUUCUUGAAUUAAGGGUGGUUGCCCUUCUCUGUUUUGUAGUCUAUGAUAUCUUAGUUGCAUAAGUAAACAGCCCUUUGUGUUUUUUUGUUCAAGCGAGCGCUUUCGUGUAAUAGUUCUGAGCCAGUGUGCUUUUGAUGUUGAUGAUGAUGAUGAUGAUGAUGAUGAUGAUGAUGAUGGUGAAUUCAUAGUUGUUGUUGUUGUUGUUAGUGGUAGUGGUGGUGGUGGUGGUGGUAGUAAGUGGUAACACUACAACGAAAUGAGCAAAGAAAAUGAGAGAUGGAAAAAGAGGCUAUGAUGAUGCUAUCGUAGUAACAUUUCUUACGAGGAAAUGAACUAGCAUUGAUGGUAUAACCUGACCCGUGUCCUGGCGGGGCAACUGGAUGCAACUUUUGGUUUUGCAGCCAUGGCGGUGUCACAGUUCACAACGUCAUCAAUGCUUGAUGAAAUGCAAGUUCUGAGCCUUGUCUAUGCUAUUAUAGAGAUCAGGCAUGAUGCUAAUGGGACCGUAUCUUGGCAGGGCAACCCUGAUGAUAUGGGAUUUUCCCCACAUGCAACAGCGUUUGCAGCCAUGGCUGUUCCCCUUCCUCUUUGCCUGAUUUUGCUGCUCUACAUCUGAGCCUUUGUUUUGAUACAUGCGUGUAUGUGUGAGUUUUGUCCAAGAAAGGUGUUUGUUGCAACUUCUUUUCUGUUCAAAGUUGCUCUGGCAAGACAAAUAUUGCUCUGGAAUUAUGGUAACCCUUGAAUUGUUAGUUGCACUUGUAAAUUUAGUUCAAAAAUUGAUGCACCAUAGAGAUGGGAUUUCUUAAGGGUGGUUGCCUCUCUCUGUUUUUAGCCUAUGAUUUCUUUCUUCAUAUCAAAGAAGCCAACAGCCAUUGAGAGUUUAAAGCAAGGGUUAAUUGUACUUACCACCCUUUUGUCACUGAUGUGAACCAAAAGGCCCUCUUUAUUGAUAUAUCAUGGAAAACUUCCAAGCCUCUAGUUUUCCAGUUUGAAAAAGAAAUGAAAACAUCAAAAAAGCUGUGAUGAUUAUUUACUCUCCAAAUGGAGCAAGUUUUUCUUUUGCAGGCAUUUUGAGGUGAUCCAGAACAUAUCUUGGCUGGGAAACCAGAAUGAUUCCAACAGAAGAGUCUGGUAAGAUCUUGGCUGGGAAACCAGAAUGAUUCCAGCAGAAGAGUCUGGUAAGUAUCUCAGAUUUGCAGCCGCGGGAGCAUCUCUUGGUCUCUUUGCCUGAUCACAGACCAACACUAGUCUGUCCUCUUAGUGACCAAAAUGCAUUUUUCUUUCCUGGUAUGUAUCUCUCUUUAUCUAGACAAACUUUGUUCUUGUACAGAUCUGGGUGGAGCUGACGGGGUAACUCAGCUACUAGUUGUUUAUCAACCUAAGUUGGGUGAACCUCAGUUAGAUCCUCAUUACCCAUUCCUGUUGUUGCCUUAGACAGCAGUAGUGAAAUCAGGUUACUACUAUUGCUGGCAAAAUGUAAAGGGAUGGUCCACUAGGAAGUAUCUGAUCCACAAAAAUGAGGGUGCAAUUAUGCACUGCUAAUAGCUAGUAUUGAUUCAGAAGAUUAAAUAUUGAUCUUGGCAGGGAAAUUCUUUUCUAGAAGUAUUUUGAUGUUUGGUGGUUCAUAGGAUAUUGGAUUAUCAGCCAUGUUGGUAUUGUAUUGGGUAUCUCAUAUGCUUUGUUUCUCAACUUUGUUCUGAAUAUAGUCCAUCUUUAAAUUAAAAAGAUCAAAGAAAGAGCAAAAUUUUGUUCUGGUACUGCUUUUUCUUUAGUUCUAUUUUUGUGUAAGCUUUGGUGCUCAUCACUUUAGUCUAUCUUUCCAAACGUGUACUACAUUUUUUUUUUUGGACCUUUUGAGAUGGAUUCCUUCUGGACGUGAAAUGCAACAACAUUGCCAGUUAUGAAAACCAUACCUUUUUAAGAAAGGGGAUGGGAAAGAUACCUUGGAAAGAAAAGUAAGGGAAAAAUCUGAAGCUGCACGAAGAAAAGGCCAUUGGAGAAUAGGACAGGACUGAAAUCCACACUCAUUUUGUGCCUCUGGGAAAACAGUAGCAAUCCCAAAAAAGAUGCAAUGUCUUUGGCUAUUUCUAGCAUCAGCUGCUAACGCUGCAUGAGCUUCCUUGGCAGGUGCUGCAUUAGCUUCUUUGUCUGUGUGGUCUAGAGGGGGCUUUUUCUGCUACUUUUGCUAGGAGUUUUAAGGGAUGCAUUUGUUGGAUCUUAUGCCCUGAUCGUCCUCUCAUUGUUUCAGGGGUGGUAUGUACCAAUGGUAAUUCUCUUUUAAGAUUGUUUCACCUCUGCGAAUCAUCGCAGUUUAAAUAUAGGGUAAUGACCCAAGUUGAAGUACC